GGAGAGUACAGCUCAAGUGGUAGAGUGCAUGCUUAUAAUGCAGGAGGUCCUGGGUGCAAUCCCCAGUGUCUCCU
Non-coding RNA from Camelus ferus (Wild Bactrian camel), 74 nucleotides. Lineage: Eukaryota; Metazoa; Chordata; Mammalia; Artiodactyla; Camelidae. The record is from Rfam.